GAAGCAAAGCUAGUGAUGUCUCUGCAACCAAAACAAAUGCAAUAUGAACUAAUAUUUGAUGGAACAGUAUGAGAUUUUCUUCACUGCAAAAAUAUGGUUUUAAUAACAUGACUACUAUCAUGCUCUAUUGAAUUACACUUUAGCCGAUCAUGUUUUAUGCAAAAUUGCUAUGAUGGUAGUAUGGUACAAUAAAACCAUGCAGUAUCUGAAAAAAAAAAUUUGGCAGCUGCUUUUAACACAAUGUUCAUUAAGUGCAAUCUUAUAAUUGGGUUGCUGAGAGGGGAAGAAAAGAAUGAAGUCAACUCAGCAAGAUACUAAUUUCCAACUUAUAGUCUUUAGAUUACACUGUCCUUGGCUCAGGAAAGGCUUGAGAAGCCUUAAGGAUUGGCCAUUA
RNAcentral lists this unclassified non-coding RNA (394 nucleotides) under Hevea brasiliensis (rubber tree). The record is from RNAcentral. Lineage: Eukaryota; Viridiplantae; Streptophyta; Magnoliopsida; Malpighiales; Euphorbiaceae.